This is a long non-coding RNA of Cyanistes caeruleus (blue tit), 2166 nucleotides long. The record is from Ensembl. NCBI's taxonomy places the organism in Eukaryota, Metazoa, Chordata, Aves, Passeriformes, Paridae.
UCCCAGCCCCUGGCCCUGCCCAGACCCCCCAGCAAGCCCACCCUGAGCAUCCCUGAGAGCGCUGUCCAAACGCUCCCGGAGCUCUGGCAGCCUUGGGGCCGGGCCCAUUCCCUGGGGAGCCUGGGCAGUGCCAGCAGCCUCGGGGGGAAGAACCUUGCCCUGAGAUCCAUCCCAAGCCCUGGCACAGCUCCAGCCCUUCCUGGGCUCCUGUCCCUGUCCCAGAGCAGAGCAGAGCUCAGCCCCUGCCCCUCCGCCUCCCCUCGGGAGGAGCUGCAGCCCCCGAGGAGUCUCCCCUCAGUCUCCUCUGCUCCAGCUGAACGAGCCAAGUGCCCUCAGCUGGGCAGUGCGGGUUACAGAAGGGGAGAUGGACGGAUGGACGCAGAGCUUCCUAACGGCGCAGACGCCACACAGAGAACAGCAGGGAGGCUCCAGGAGCGGCCAGACCUCGGGUGCGCUCCCCCGCUUCACAGCUGUGACCGGCCGUCCUCGGACACACUCGCAGUGUCAGAGUUCAGCAGUGGAUGUCAGUGUUGCUGCUACUGCCUGGAGGAUGUGGUGUGGGAAAAGGUGCAAUGCACUUCGAACCAGGUGUUACUCUGCUCAUUAGAAGAUACCUGCACUUCAAGGUUUGAUUUAUUUGAAGAGCUGAAUCUGAUAAUAAACUGAAGUCAGGACCAUGAUGUAGACCCAGAUUUCUUUUCACAUGACAGAAUCCUGUAUCUGGGGAGGAUGGAAAGCUGUUGAGGUUUAAAGACUGUCUUGGGUUGCAAUGCAAGAUGUAACCAAAAGUUUGUAUUUUAUUACCAUCUAGUCGGGAAUUCAAGAGCCAUUUGUUUAUUUGCUUGGCAUUUUCUGUCUGAUUUGUGUGACUUUAUCUUAGUUCCAUGUCUAAUCAGUUGUGGUCUCACUGUUGUAUCAUGGAUUGAUCGGUAUUAGUCUGUCUUUACAAACUGCCUUGCUGCAGGGUGAUGCUAAACUGGUAUAUCUCUACAUUAUCUACCCGGAAGCUGGCUCAGUUAAAUACAACUUUUUUGACUUGUUGGUUUCUUGGUUGUUUUUUUGGGGUUUUUUUAAGCACUCAGUCAUGUAUAGUUUAAUCCUAAUUAAUCUGUGGAGUGAGCUCUACCAGAGAGAAAAUUCACUUGUAAGCAUCUGUGGCUGCUGGCCCAGGUGAAUUGUCCUUUCUGGCCCUGUCUAGUCUAGGUUAUUGGGCCAGGCUGUGGUCCUGCCUGGCAGCAGAGGAACUUAUUCCCCAGCCUGUCCUAACAGCAAACAUUCAGGAAGGGAACAUGGAUUAACACCUAGGGCAGUUUUAGUUAGCAAUCAGUAAUGGUAUUACUGGAUAUCAGAUGGUAUCUGCUUAUCAUAGAAUCAUAGAAAAGACCUAGUCUGUAAAAGACCUUCAGAACUAUCAAGUCCAGCCUUUAAGCUAAUCCCCCAAGCCCACAAAACCAUAUCCCCAAGUGCCAUGUCAACUCAUUUUUUGACCACUUCCAGGGUUGGUGUCUCCACCACUGCCCUGGACAGCCUGUUCUAACCCUUCACCACUCUUCCAGGGAAGAAAUUCUUCCUGAUGUCCAACCUAAACCUUUCUUGGCACAGCUUGGGGCUGUUUCUUCUUGUCCUGUCCCUUAUUCCUGGGAGCAGAGCCCAAACCCCCUGGCUGCACCUUCCUGUCAGGGAGUUGUGCAGAGCCAGAAGGGCCCCCCAAGCCUCCUUUUCUCCAGGCUGAGUCCCUUUCCUAGCUCCCUCAGCUGCUCCUGGGGCUCCAGACCCUGCUCCAGCUCCAUUCUCCUGUCUGGACACACUCCAUCCCCUCAGUGUUUCUUGUAUGACAAUUACACAGUCAAGACAGUAAAGAUAGAGAUUCUCUAUGAUUUGUGUGGCUUUCAAAUCACACAAAUCUCUAUGAUUUGUGUGAUUUGAAAAGACUGUUAGUUGUCUUUAACUUCAGUGCUCUCCAUGCCUUCACAGUUCAUCCUGGCCUUCCAAUGUAGAUUUUGGAUGAUGGGAUAAUGAAAAGAAAACCCCAUUUUGUAACUUCCUUUGCUACACCAUAGUUUAAUGCAGUUUGAAUUUUACUGCUGCAUAUUUCUCCUCGUUUAACUCUGGAAGUAAUAGUGCAUCAGCAUUAAUAAAUCUCAGCUUCUGAUCUAGGUUAUUCCA